This is a long non-coding RNA of Aplysia californica (California sea hare), 314 nucleotides long. RefSeq lists it as uncharacterized. NCBI's taxonomy places the organism in Eukaryota, Metazoa, Mollusca, Gastropoda, Aplysiida, Aplysiidae. The transcript is spliced from 3 exons. The record is from RefSeq and is a predicted model, not a curated record.
AUCUGGCCCAGCACCACCACCAGGAACCUCUGGUCCAACUGUAUGCCCAUACCCAAUGGUGGAAGAGCCUCAAGAAGAAGAUGCUUCUCCUCAAGGUGAUAAUCCAGAUGCUCCAAGGCUGUUUGAACUUUCUCCUGACGGUGACGAUGUUCCUGUUACACUCAUUAACGUCACACCUGCUCCACCAUCAGGAGGCUCAACUCCUCCAGAAUCCACACCUUCUGUACUUGCGCCAGUUGAUGAACCUACCUUCACAGGAGAUGGCACAACUGAGGUUGCUUAUGUCUAUACUUUUGGUAUGUAUAUAUAUGUAU